This 406-nucleotide ribosomal RNA is filed under the name uncultured bacterium. Its description in RNAcentral is "partial 16S ribosomal RNA". It matches the Rfam family "Bacterial small subunit ribosomal RNA", at positions 30 to 526 of the family's 1533-position model. The record is from RNAcentral.
AUUGAACGCUGGCGGCAGGCUUAACACAUGCAAGUCGAGCGAGCGGCGGACGGGUGAGUACUGUCUGGGAAACUGCCUGCUGGAGGGGGAUAACUACUGGAAACGGUAGCUAAUACCGCAUACCAUCAGAUGUGCCCAGAUGGGAUUAGCUAGUAGGUGGGGUAAUGGCUCACCUAGGCGACGAUCCAUAGCUGGUCUCAGAGGUUGACCAGCAACCCUGGAACUGGGACACGGUCCAGACUCCAAGGUGAGGCAGCAGUGGGGAAUAUUGCACUAUGGGCGCAAGCCUGAUGGAUCCUUGCCGCGUGUGUGAAGAAGCCCUUCGGGUUGUAAAGCACGUUCAGCGAGGAGGCGUUACUCGCAGAAGAAGCACCGGCUAACUCCGUGCCAGCAGCCGCGGUAAUAC